Molecule: long non-coding RNA, 4513 nt
Organism: Solanum lycopersicum (tomato)
Lineage: Eukaryota; Viridiplantae; Streptophyta; Magnoliopsida; Solanales; Solanaceae
Source: RefSeq, a predicted model, not a curated record
GUGUAAAUAAGUUCAAAUAAAUAAUGUGAUUUAGUUGGUGGAAUUAAGUCAAAACUAAUUGAAUAUCUACAUUUUUGUAGAUGGAUCAUCGUUUGUGGAUGUAUAGUAUGUGCAUUAUGAAAUUGAUGCUAGUUUGAAAUCUGAGUUUAUUGACGGUGUUAGAAAUUUUAUUGACCAAACAAUGACACUUGACAUUUGCAAGAAUAAUGGAUUGGUUAGGUGUCUUUGUAGUGCAUUGUAAGAGCUUAAAUUUUUUGAACCAGAUAAGGUUAUGGUUCAUUUGUACCAUAAUGGAUUUAAGCCCAGAUAUUUUGUAUGGAUUCAUUAUGGAGACACUGACGAAUUUGAUGGUAUGUUUUUAUAAUUCGAUGCCUAUGGAUGUAUAUAAUAUGGUUACACCACAUGGUCAAAAGGAUUGAACAGGUUAGGGUUGAAUAUAACAUGGUUCAUUAAAUGAUCAUGAUGCGUUUGGGGUUCAAAGGGGGAUGGGAUCGGAACAAUAUUUUGAUGAAUCUCCCAAUGAAGAAGCAAGACACUUCUAUGAUCAAUUAGAAGAGUCUAGUUGUCCACUAUGUGAAAGGAAUCUGCAUUCUACCUUGUUAGUUGCCGUUAAAUUAAUGAAUAUUAAGUCAGAUUGGAAUAUUCUUAAUGCGGAUAUAAUCUGGAGUUUAACAUACCAAAGAACUUCUAUCAGAAAAACGUUUGAUGUCCAAGUUAGGAUUGACGUAUGAUAGAAUUCAUUGUUGUAUUAAUGGUUGCAUGUUGUUUUACAAGACUGGUAGUGAAUUAAAAAAUUAAAAAUUUUGUGGACAUGCUCGUUAUGAGAGGACUCCAAAUAAAAAGAUGGUGCCAAUUCAGGCGAUGCAUUAUUUACCUCUCAUUGCUAGGUUAAAGAGAUUGUAUGCAUCGAUGAGAUCUACCCACAUAUGAGAUGGCAUCGUGAAUAUAGAAGGUCACCAGGUGUCUUGUCUCAUCCAUAUGAUGGUGAAACAUGGAAACAUUUUGAUAAUGUAUAUCAUGAUUUUUCUAGUGGACCAAGAAAUGUUAGAAUGGGGUUGUGUUCAGAUGGUUUACACCAUUCUGUAAUGCAGUUUUGCCUUAUUCAUGUUUGCUGGUAUUUCUUAUUUCGUAUAAUCUUCCUCCUGAAAUGUACAUGACCAGUCCCUACAUCUUUUUAAGUUGUUUUAUUCCAGGUCCCCAUAAUUCAAAAAGUUUGAUUGAUGUCUAUCUACAAUAAUCUGUAGAUGAGCUCAAACUAUUGUGGUUUGAAUGCAUUUUGACUUAUGAUAUAUCAACUAAGCAGAAUUUUACUAUAUGUGUUUCUUUAAUGUGGACUAUUAAAAAUUUUCCUGCAUACAGAAUGUUGUUUGGUUAUAGUAAGGCAUUCACUUUAAAGUAUGGUAAAAAAAUACAUGGUUUAAUUUUUAUACCUAGUUCUUGACAAUGGACCAUGAUUUUAGACAGAUGAAAAAUGCAUUUAGAAAAAAUAAGGUUGAAAGUGACCCCCCCCACCUCCAUUAUCACAUAGCAUCAAAUUUGGGAGAAAGUUUCUCAAUUACCUAAAGUUACAGAAGCUUCACCUUCUAGACUUCCUGGGUAUGGUGUUGGAAGGACAAUCUGCUACAACAUAUCUUGAUGUGAUGAACAUUGAAAAAAAUUAUUUUGAUAAUUUGUUUAACACAAUGAUGAAUGUUAAGGAUAAGAAAAAAGACUAUCCAAAAGAAAGGAUGUACUUAAAUGAAUAUUGUAGGAGAAAAGAUUAUGGCUGCAGGAAUUACCUAAUGGUAGAAUAGUUAAGCCAAAAGUCAACUUUUCAUUCACAUUGAAUGAGAAACGUGAAUUUUGUGAGCGGGUUAAGAUCUUGAUGAUGCUGGAGGGCUGUGCUUCAAGUUUAGGAAAGUGAGCAUCAUAAAUGAAGGAAAAUUGAUAGGUAUAGAACUUCAUGAUUGUCAUGUGUUCAUGGAAACUUUAAUUCCUAUCGCUUUUAGUCAUCUACCAGAAAGGAUAUGGAAACCAAUCACAGAGGUAAGUCUUUUUUUAAAGACUUGUGUUCUGGAAAAUUGUUGGAGAAUAGUUUAGAACGGAUAUAAGAAUAUAUUGUUGUUAUUACCACUAAGUUGGAGAAGAUAUUUUCAUGUGGUUUCUUUGAUGUGGCGGAGCAUAUAUCAAUUCACCUUGUACAAGAGGGCUGACUCGGAGGUUCACUUCAAACAAGAUGGAUGUAUCCAUUUGAGAGGUAUCUAUUUGAAAUAUUCACUAAGUUAUAUAUAUUCACCAAGUCUUUUAUCAAUUAUCAAAUAUAUACACAUAUACAUGCAAAAAAUUGAUAGAUCCAAGCAAACAAUUAAGCAAAGGGGAAAGAUUGAAGGAUCAUUUGUUCAAGGUCAUAUUGGGAGAAAAAAUGGUGAUUUUUAUUCUUAUUACUUUGGUGAUGAUGUGUCAUAUAGGAGAAACAAGCUCAAUCGCAAUGAUAAAAGUGAUAUUGAUUUUUCAUUUCCACUUGUAUCGAUUUUUAAUCAAAAUGAUCGAGGAUCUAAAAAGCAUGUAAAGCAAGGCUACACUGAUAUGAAAAUGCAAUCAACUGUGACACAUAUUUUGCUUAAUUGUCCAGAGAUUCAACCAUAUCUCAAGUAAGUGUUAAAAAUAUGUUAUCACCUGGUAUUACAUACUAAUAUAUAAGUUUUCAUUAACUAACAAAAUACUUGAAUGUAAAAUGAUCUGCUUGUUAGCAAACACAUGGAGUAAUGAAGCCAUUUAGACAAAAAUUUUCAAAUGGCUAUACAACUAUGUAAUUAUGCAAUCACUAAGUAUUUAAUAAUAUAUUCAUGUUAUACUAAAUUAUAUUACUUGAAAUAACAAUCACGUAGAUUUACGAUGAAUAGUCAAGUGUCAAACAUUUGCAAUUAGUGAAAUCGGAAUCUCAGGACUGGCAAUGAAUAAGUAUUGUGUCAAUGAGUUUAAGUUUGAAACUGAAGAAGUUUCUAGGAACAAGAAAACAAAUAAUAGUGGUGUCUAUAUACAAGGUGAUAUUGACGGUACUAGCCAAACUGUUGAAUAUUAUGGUGUCAUUCAUCAGAUUACCGAAGUGAGGUAUUUAAGUUGGCCUAAGAAGAAGAUUGUAUUGUUUCGAUGUGAGUGCUUUGACCCAUCACAUAGAGGCACAAAGGUGGACCAUCAACAUAAUAUAAUUAAAGUUAAUCACACUAGGAAAUGCAGAAAUUAUGAUUCUUUUAUCAUUGCAAAAAAUGCUAAACAAGUGUAUUACACUCCAUAUCUAUUGCGUAGAGACAAAGCUGACUGGUGGAUUAUUAUAAAAAGUAAGCUUGUGGGAAUAAUUGAUAUUGACAUUGUAUUAGAUGUAGCGUAUCAAAAUGAUGUUGUGAUUGUUCAAUGGCAAGUUGAUGUUGAAUUGUAAGCCAUACUACAACAUCCUCAACAAUAUUAGAAGAAGUAUCUGAUGAUGAGAUACUGAAUUUUGAGGAAAAAGUAUCUGAUAAUGAGGAGAAUGAAUCAUUUGAUGAAGAAGAAUAGGACGAUAAUGAAAAUGAAUAAACUGAGGAGCAAGAAUGAAGAAUGAUGGAAUUGAAACAUGUUAGGAGGAAUAGUGUAGAAUGAAAGCUAGCUAGUAUAUAUAUGUAGGUUAGUGUAUUUUGCUAAUUUUAUUGAAUUUAUGAUUUUUAUAUGUAUUAUACAUGUAAAUUUGCAUGCGGAUGUCAUCAAGCGGUCACGGUGAUAGACAUUGUGAGCAUCUUGGAGUUCGCCUGACUAAACAAUCCAAAAAGAAGAAGUCUAGGAGACCUAUAGAUCGUGAGGAUAUUGCAGAAUCUAUGUCUUCUGCGCUAGACUGCAUCAACGAUGAUACACAUAUACUUAUUCCAUUUAGUAUGGCGGAUCCUCAACAAUAUUAUCCUAGUUACCGUCAAUCAGUCGGUGGUUCCUCUACUUUAUAGACAUUGCCUUCAUUACGCUACGAGGACCUACUUUUACAAACUAUUCAUUGAGGAUGACCCUUAUCGUUCGGUACUCCAUCUCCCACAAGUACAUCUCCUCAGUUAUCUGCCAUGAGGACUAGAGAUUCUAGUAGCGAGCAUUCAGAUGCCAUGGCAUGUACGCCUCCAUUGGCUUAGCGUUAUGUGCAUUCUUACGAAUCAUCCUCAGCUACAGCUACACCUUAUGCUACUCCAGAUGAUGAGAUGCCUCCUCUAGUUCCUGACCAGAAGGACGGACUUGGUAGAGUCAUAAUUGAACCGAAUGGAUCACCGUGGCAUCCGGCAAAGGAUGUUGCCUGGGCUUUAAAAACUCUAUAUUAGAUCUCUAGACAUUUAUGAUUUUUUUUUGUAAUUUUGAAAGACUUUAUAAGUCUUUAAAUUUUUAUUUAGAUGCUUUUGAAUGUUAUUUUAAGUUUCUUGUUUUAUGUUGUGUAGAUUGUUUAUAUAAUCGUGUGUGUUUGAUUGGGCUGAAUAGUGUAAAAUUGAAUUGAAUUGAAUUUGCAAGUGGGCAACAGAAUUGUCAA